UGACAAGACAUCCUGAAGAAAAGAAUAUUGCAAAGACCAUCAAGACCACUUUAUAAAGGUCAUUUAGGCACCUGAAAUGGAUUUAAUUUAAAUAACCAUGGGCAUCUACAUUUGAGGAAGACUCCCUUCACAGACUUUGAAAAUUAACAGAGAAAUUCUGCAGCUCCUCCCUUGUUUUUAUGGUUUCUCAGGCUGGGGAAAGACACGCCUUUAAAUUCUAUGAUCACUUUUAAAGACAGACUGAGAAAAGUUAGAAUUCAGUCAGAGUCAGUGCAAGGAAGAGAAUACUAAAUGCAAAAUUGUGGAGGAGAAAGCAAACUCUAUUAUUUCAUGAAGGCUGAAUUUGUGGAGAUGAACUGGGGCUUCUUGGUGCUCAUCACAAACAAAAAUAAGGAACAGAGAGGUGCAGAGAAGUGAGGAAGUUCAGCGCUGUCAGGAGAAAACUGAUUAUUGUCUCUCUGUCAAGAACCCCAAGGAUUCUAAAAAUUUCAGUGGUAAAGACAUUACUGGACAUAUUUGACAAGAAUCAAUGGAUGUGCCCACUCAAGUAAUCUCAGAAAACGGGAAGUAAUGUUGAUUACAGGAUGAGAUGGAAGGAAAUAAGAGGAAAAGAGUUGGUUGUUAUAUCUAGGAAGGUUGUGGCUCAGUCACAGAUGGAACUCAACUUCUGCACACAAAUCCAGGAUUCCCUUUCACCUUGUCUUGAAAAAAAUGUCAUUAUGGGGACCUGCAUGAUGCAGAUCUCAACCUAUAUGCUGAAUAUGCACCAGAAGGGUCUGAGCCUCCUCUCUGGAUAUGUCCUCAGCACUAAGUGUAGAGAACACUGAAUAAGCUUGGAUUACUAGCAAGAAUCAUAGGAUCACAGAAUUGAUGUGAUGGAAGUUGGAAAAGACCUCUCAGAUCAACAACCAGCACUGAACUGAGUCCCUCAGUGCCACAUCCUCACCUCUGUUAAAUUCCUCUGGGCCUGGUGACCCCACAGCUUCUCUGGGCAGCCUGUUACAAGGCCUGACCACCCUUCCAAUGAAGAAGUUUUUCCUAAUAUCCAAUCCUAACCUCUCCUGGCACAAUUUGAAGCCAUGUGUUGUUGUCCUGUUGCUGGUUACUUGGGAGAAGAAGCCGACCCCCUCAUGGCUGGAAAAGAAGGAACAAAUGUCUCCAUUCAUGGAGCCAUGUGCUCCCACUGCCUGGGAACGAGGAUAUCUUGGAUGGCACACCAGACUGCACUGCUCUGUGCCAUCACUGGCUGACACUCCUCUGUGCUAUUUGGGUGACAACUUGCAAGGUGGGGGUCUCCAAAUGCUCAGGGAAGUUGGAAGUGCAGGCGCAAGGGAGGAUUUUAUUGCUGAAACAUGGACGUCUGUUGCCAAUUUUGCUGCAGCAUAUUUGAGACAUAUGCACGGUACUAACAGGUAUUACACAGCACUUCAGGGAGACUCCCCUUCUGGAGUGUCAGAUGGAGGCAAGGAAGUUUUCCUUUUCCUAGGAAGAAAUAGACAUGCUCACACUGGAGGAGGUGAUAUUUACACUAAGAGAACUGCAUCCUUUCAGGAGGGACUGAAUUUCCAGCUGGAAAAGGAAAGCAGGUGGGAUAAUGAGAGUGGAUCUUCCCUGCAUAGGCUUCAGGGUGAGCUCCUUAAAGGUGGCCUGGUUAGAAAGGGAAAAUUACUGAGCAGAAGAAAAUUUCUGCUAGAAAAUACUUGCAGAGAUAUUCCCAGCCAGCCUGGCAGCUGUGAGCCUGGGAACUAAACUUUCAUACUACAACAUC
Molecule: non-coding RNA, 1768 nt
Organism: Zonotrichia albicollis (white-throated sparrow)
Lineage: Eukaryota; Metazoa; Chordata; Aves; Passeriformes; Passerellidae
Source: RefSeq, a predicted model, not a curated record